This 471-nucleotide long non-coding RNA is filed under the name Volvox carteri. RNAcentral's name for it is "long non-coding RNA (VCAR_LNC003106)". Lineage: Eukaryota; Viridiplantae; Chlorophyta; Chlorophyceae; Chlamydomonadales; Volvocaceae. The record is from RNAcentral.
CCAUCCGAGAGGAGGACACCCUUACAUCCCUUCCCCAUGAUGGUUGCCUAGCAAGCGUGACUGAUCAAGCCGCAUUCCCCGCCGCCUUUCUGGCAACUAGUUGAUGGUAUGAUGCAUCAUUGUUGCGGUGUACGAUGGCGCCUGAUGCGACUUAUGCCCUUUCAGCCUCCCAGGCAUGUCCCCACUUGCCUCACAGCCACCGAUGCAUCUCACGGCAGGGGUCUAAUUGUGUGCGUGUUUGGAUGCAGUGUUCCCCUCCACCUUUGGGCAACUAGUUGAUGGCGUCAUACAUCGUUGGCGCGGUGUACGGUGGUGCCUGAUGCGAUCUAUGCGUCCAGAAGCCCUUUCAGCCUCCCAGGCAUGUCCCCACAACUGCCCCACACAGCCAGCGGGGGUCUAACUGCGUGCGCGUUCACAUGCGGCAUGCCACGCCGCCUUUCUGGCAUCUAUUGAUGAUAUGAUGAAUCUUUG